GAUCCUGGCUUAGGAUGAACGCUAGCGGCAGGCUUAACACAUGCAAGUCGAGGGGCAUCGUGGAGUAGCAAUACUCUGACGGCGACCGGCGAAAGGGUGAGUAACGCGUGAGCAACAUGCCCGAUAGUGGAGGAUAGUCGAUGGAAACGUCGCGUAAUACUCCGUAACAUAAGGGACCGCAUGAUCCUUUAUUAAUAGAUUUAUCGCUAUCGGAUUGGCUCGCGUACCAUUAGCUAGUUGGCGGGUAACGGCCCACCAAGGCGACGAUGGUUAGGGGUUCUGAGAGGAAGGUCCCCACAUUGGAACUGAGACACGGUCCAGACUCCUACGGGAGGCAGCAGUGAGGAAUAUUGGACAAUGGCCGGAAGGCUGAUCCAGCCAUGCCGCGUGCCGGGAAGACGGCCCUAUGGGUUGUAAACCGCUUUUGUUGGGGAGCAAUAAGUCCUACGUGUAGGAUGAUGAGAGUACCCAGCGAAUAAGCAUCGGCUAACUCCGUGCCAGCAGCGGC
Molecule: ribosomal RNA, 508 nt
Filed under: uncultured bacterium
Lineage: Bacteria
Description: bacterial SSU rRNA
Rfam family: Bacterial small subunit ribosomal RNA
Source: RNAcentral